RNAcentral lists this ribosomal RNA (440 nucleotides) under uncultured bacterium. Its description in RNAcentral is "partial 16S ribosomal RNA". It matches the Rfam family "Bacterial small subunit ribosomal RNA", at positions 338 to 795 of the family's 1533-position model. The record is from RNAcentral.
CCUACGGGUGGCUGCAGUGGGGAAUAUUGCACAAUGGGGGAAACUCUGAUGCAGCGACGCCGCGUGAGCGAUGAAGUCUCUCGGUAUGUAAAGCUCCUUUAGCAGGGAAGAAAAUGACGGUACCUGACUAAGAAGCCCCGGCUAACUACGUGCCAGCAGCCGUGGUAAUACGGAGGGGGCAAGCGUUAUCCGGAUUUACUGGGUGUAAAGGGAGCGUAGACGGUCCUGCAAGUCAGAUGUGAAAGGCCCGGGCUUAACCCCGGGACUGCAUUUGAAACUGUAGGGCUAGAGUGUAGGAGAGGCAGGUGGAAUGCAUGGUGUAGCGGUGAAAUGCGUAGAUAUUAGGAGGAACACCAAUGGCGAAGGCAGCCUGCUGGACGAUGACUGACGUUGAGGCACGAAAGCGUGGGGAGCAAACAGGAUUAGAUACCCCAGUAGUC